CCUACGGGCGGCAGCAGUAGGGAAUCUUCCACAAUGGGCGCAAGCCUGAUGGAGCAACACCGCGUGAGUGAAGAAGGGUUUCGGCUCGUAAAGCUCUGUUGUUGGAGAAGAACGUGCGUGAGAGUAACUGUUCACGCAGUGACGGUAUCCAACCAGAAAGUCACGGCUAACUACGUGCCAGCAGCCGCGGUAAUACGUAGGUGGCAAGCGUUAUCCGGAGUUAUUGGGCGUAAAGCGAGCGCAGGCGGUUGCUUAGGGCUGAUGUGAAAGCCUUCGGCUUAACCGAAGAAGUGCAUCGGAAACCGGGCAACUUGAGUGCAGAAGAGGACAGUGGAACUCCAUGUGUAGCGGUGGAAUGCGUAGAUAUAUGGAAGAACACCAGUGGCGAAGGCGGCUGUCUGGUCUGCAACUGACGCUGAGGCUCGAAAGCAUGGGUAGCGAACAGGAUUAGAUACCCGGUAGUC
Molecule: ribosomal RNA, 464 nt
Filed under: uncultured bacterium
Lineage: Bacteria
Description: partial 16S ribosomal RNA
Rfam family: Bacterial small subunit ribosomal RNA
Source: RNAcentral